GUGUAAUGGUAUUUCCCGCGGUUAUUUUUGUACAACUUAUAAAUAAAAUACGGUAUGACUAUCACUUGCCACUAUGUACCUAACAGAAUGAACAAUUUUGCAAAGACUCACUCAGUGUAAGUAUAUCGAUACGGUGAAUUAAUUAACAUGAAAAAACUCUGUAAUUUCUAAAUAAUUUUACUGGACACAAAACACACGGGCACCUGGUAAUUUUUUUUUAGAUAAUCUGCCUUUCCUGAUUUUCCUGAUAUUUUGAGUGGCGAAUCCAUAACUUUUUCUAGGGGGGGGGGCUGCUCCAGUCAUGCUCCAAUGAUUCCCUAUAUAAUCAUAGAAUCAACCAAAUUUUCCCCACAAAAGGGGGGGGGCGGCAUCUAUUGUGGCUCCAUUGAUGAGGGUGGUAAAGGGUUAUUUUCGUGCACCGUUUUCGGCCUUUUUAUAUCACGUGUUUUUGUGUUUUGGCGUUUUAUUUCUCAUUUUCUCGUGUUUGGUUCGACGUGCGUGCUUCGUGUUUUCCCUUAUUCAUUUACCGUGUUUCGUGUCGGUACUCUAGCUUAUUUUCUCGUGCAUGCUAUUUGCCACUGGACGUUAAGCAACCAACAAUCAAUCAAUCUCGUGCAUGCUUGUCCAUCAUUUCAUAAAAUAGUAAACCAGGACUAAAUUCAAAGUCAGUCCCAAGACUGUUUUAAAUUAUGUGUUCUCAGGAUAUUAAUCGCUAUCGAAUCACUAUGAAUAUUUUUUUUCAAAUCAGAUGCAACUUGCGGAUGCUAAAAGGUGUCCACAGGGUAGUCAUGUCCAUUAAUAAUGACUGCCUGAUCUCCAAGAACGACAGAGUAAUAACUUCUAGUACUUUUUGCCUAAUGUUUGCAAUUUUAUUUCUCGUGCUUCGUUUUUCCCGAUUUUUAUUUUCCGUGCUACGUUUUUUUAUAUUUUCAUUUCACGUGUUUCCGUGUUCAGGACCCCCCUUUACCACCCUCAUUGAUUGUUUAUACAGAGAGCACACAAGAUCAUGUAAAUUUAGAAUGUCCAAUGGUAGAUGGAGAAACAGCACUGUAUAUAAAAAGAGCACCUAGAUUCUACCUGUGAAAAUAUGGUUCCUUUUUCAAAGGAGGUUUAAGGAUCAGUUCAAUUAUAUUAGAUAGUUUAUAAAACAAUUAUGUAAUUAUGUAAAAUUUGGUUGAUUAUAUUGGGAAUCAUUGAAGCAUGACUGGAGCGGGCCCCCCUUAGGUCAGUCAGCGGGCCCCCCCCCCCCCUUAGGAAAAGUUCUGGAUCCGCCACUGUUAUGGGAGUCUUCAACAGUUCACUUGCAAAACAUAAUAUUAAUUUUGGGUAUGGACUUAACUACUGCGGGUUACCCGAAUUAACAAGGGGCGGAUUUGACUUGUUAUGCCAUAUUAACUAUCAAAGGUGGCUUAGGUGCCCAUUUGACCAGGUUUCCAAACAUGGCAAAAAUGACUAGAAUUCAGACACAGUGUUAAAUAAAUUAAGAUAUAUACAUUUUUGUGUUGGAAAUGCACACUACACUGGCAGCUUUAUUAACUAAGCUACAUUAGAUUGUAACUUGAGUUAUAUUCCUUGUGACUAAUUAUACAUGUGUUAAAAAUAAUACAAUUUUGAAUAAUAAUAUUGAAAAUAAGGAGAUCAAUGUAGUAUGAUUGCCUAUGAGAUUACUAUCUACUAAUGUUUAUAUGAACUGGAUUUAAGCAUCUAUAUAGGACACCUUAAUACCUUUAACAAUGAACAAAGCUCAUACUGUCAGCUACAAAAAAUGUAUAACUGUCAGGCCAUCAAGGCUUGACAUGACAAAAUGUAAAAUGAUUUGCCAAAAUAAAUCAAAUAUGUAGACUGCAUCAAACAACAACUAAAUCUCAUCCGGACUUGGAACAGGCAUAAAUAGAAUGUUGUGACUGUUGUGUAACAGCACAAAAGAGGAACAAAGUGGUGAAAUCAGUUAGAAAUUGUUUUGAUUCAUUGAAUUGGUACAAAGCUAAACAAAUCUAACAUGAAGACAAACAAUCAAAACUUAAUAGUACUUUCAGUUAUUGAAAGCUCAUUAAAAGCUAAUAAAAACUCAAACAUUAUAUAUAAACCAUGUUUUCCCGUACACAUAUAUAUAUAUGUAUAGAUGUAAUUAUCAGAGAAAUUCGUUUUACAAUUUUUGUUUAACAUGUUUAAUUAUCUAUAACUGAUAUAUUUUUUAUUAAAGUUUCCAAGCAAGUCAAUACAUGCAAUAACAAAAAACUUUUGGGACAGAAGACACUGUUUAAAAAACGUGACCAAAGAAAAGAAAAGGAAAUGUACUUGUAAUCGACACUGGAGAAAAAAUGGACUCUUCAGGUAAGAAGUUUUAUUCUGCAAUAACUUUUGUUUAAUAGUUAAUCUGUUUUUGAAUAAAAGAAUGUGUAAAGUAUAUUUUAGUGGGACAGCAUCCCAACAAACAAUAAAUCUGAAGAGAUAUCAAGUGGUAAAUAUUUUGCUUACUGAAAGUUAAUACCAAAUGUGCCAUGCUAUAAAUUAUCCUUAAUCUGAAGAAGGUAUGAAUAUAUGCAACAGGAGUUUUACAGAAAAAAUCUGUCCUUUAUUAUGUCUAUAUGCUAGCCGCAAAUUUUUCACUGCAUUUGCAUAUCUAGUUAGGUUAGUACUUUUUCAUCUUUUUAAAAUUUUGUCUUGCAAAACAACACAUUGCAGGGAUAAAUAAAGUAAAUGUAACAAGUUUUCAUUUUAUCCAGUUUUUGUCAUGUUUGCACAUUCUCUUUCCCAUACAAUGUUUUGGUGAAGUUAAAUAAUAGUAGUUUGUACACAUGUUGCCACUUGGAAAUAUAAAUGAUAUGGAAAAUAGCAUUGUGAGCUCUCUCAAGCCUAUGUGAGUUGUAGGAUUUUAGAAAUUUACAUCAUUUGUUCAUAAGUAGGAGGCCACUGACUGCCUAAGAGGGCGCCCGCUCCGGUCAUGCUUCAGUGAUUCCCUAUAUAAUCAACCAAAUUUUUACCUGGCCCCACUCUAAAUCCACCUUUGCUAAGACCAGUUCAAUAAUCAGCUUUUCAAUUAUGCAUUGAAAUUCUGUUAAAAAGGAAGGUGUUUGACUUUUUCUAGUUUAAAAAUUAAGUGCUAAGAAACUAUUUUUACAGGAAUUAAUAGUUCCCCUUUAAAAUGGAAAGUAUAAUGAAAAUUGCAUUGUCAAUCUCAAUCCUAUUGUUCAACUUCAUGUUUGUUUUUAUGAUUUUUUUAUCAAAUUCAAAGGUUAGUUUGGCAAGCCAAAGUCAUGGAUGAGUUCAAUAAAUGUUGCAGAUUAGCUUUUUUUGCAGGAGUUAAGCUGCUUUAGAAAACUGCAUUUGUUACUUAUUUCAAGUAUAAUAACUCAUUGAUUUUGCGCAUUUUUUUCAUAAGAAUGUUCAGUAUAUAUUUGCCUUUCCUGAACUUUUAACUUUCAGUUACAUUCAGUUCUUGUGAAAUUCAACAUCUCUUACAUAAACAUCACAAAUGUCUUUUUACUUAAUCACCUUUUUUAUGUUUACAGAAGAAAUUGUCACACAGAAAUAUCUUGGGCAAAGUAAAAAGGAGAAGUAACUCUGCUAGGAAGCAGUUCCAGUCAUUUGUAGCAACAGGACUGUGACGAAUAGAACUUUAAUAUAAACUGAAUCAAAAUAUAGAAUUUACCAAACUUGUGUCAGAUAAUACUCUCAUGCUUCUAUUGGAGGACAUCAAUGAUGAGAAGUGAAGGAAAAGACAAUAAAUGACAGCAUAUCAA
This 3743-nucleotide long non-coding RNA is filed under the name Mytilus galloprovincialis (Mediterranean mussel). The record is from RNAcentral. Lineage: Eukaryota; Metazoa; Mollusca; Bivalvia; Mytilida; Mytilidae.